This is a non-coding RNA of Drosophila melanogaster (fruit fly), 1124 nucleotides long. Lineage: Eukaryota; Metazoa; Arthropoda; Insecta; Diptera; Drosophilidae. The record is from Ensembl.
CUCAGUAUGAGUUCCAGUUCCCGGGUGCUUGGACGUUGCGGAUCGGCUUAAAAAACGCAUCGGAAGCGAGAAUAUUCUGUUUGCCAGCAAUUCGAAAUGAGUUAAAAUGUGUGCAAAAUAUGAUAAAAAUAUAUGCCAUAAAUGGCAUAUGGGCUGCUAUCCAUGAAAAAGUGUUAAGUGUAGUGUAUCCUAUGCAACGAAAUGGGUCCAUGUGUUAAAGAUGUGCUUGCCAAGUAAAAAAAACCGAAAAGUAGAGGGGGUUAACAAUAAUUCAGCAAAUGAAUUGAAUAAAGGAUUCUACGGUAAUAUUUCUGCACAUAUUUUCAGAACAACAUAGCACUCACACAGCCAAUAACCAGUCCGGCCGCCAGAUUGCCACUCCAGGAUACCAAAUAUUACACAACUCCAGAGGACUGUUCUCCAUUUUGGGCACAUUUAAAAUUCAGAACGCGUUGAGCUAUAUUUUAGGCAAGAUGUCCGAGCCAUCCCCAGCACGAUUCCGGUCAUAAUUCUUUUGGUUUGAUGACCGCAUUCCCACCUCCAAAACAAACGGCUAAGGCGCCGCGGUAAAAAUUUGUUUGCGACUUGAUGGCUUAAUCCACCGCAAAGUGGCUCAGUGGUGCCUGGUAUGGGCUCAUUACGGGUCAGAAAUCAAUUGUGGUCCGAAAUCGCUGUGAACCAACUGCUUAUGCAAAGCAUGCCAUUCAAACAGAGCAAAACAAUGGAGAGCGAAAGAGACCAGGCCAAAGAAAUUCGUCGGACACAAUGAAGACAUUUGCUGCGAACCAUACUACCUACUAAUCCUGGCAAUGAACCCUUGACUUUUGGCCGCAAUUCAUCAAACAAUUGGCCGACCAUUUGCAUGCGGUGGUUGGCAGCUCUUCAUUUUAAAACUCCCUUUCCCGUAUCUGCAUCCUAAUCCGGAGGACUGAGGAUUGCGGAUUGAGGGCGACUAAUUGAGCACUUUUGUUUGAGUGCCGUGCUGCGCGGAUUUCGCCUACUUGUUAGUUGCUGCCCAAUAACAUCGCUCUCCUUCCUCAUGCACUGCGGAAAGGAUAUUUGAUUUUAAAUAAAGCCUCUCAAUUAAUUGUAUCCUAAAAAUAUACGAAAUUACAAAAAAAAUA